This 774-nucleotide ribosomal RNA is filed under the name uncultured Neocallimastigales. RNAcentral's name for it is "partial large subunit ribosomal RNA". It matches the Rfam family "Eukaryotic large subunit ribosomal RNA", at positions 24 to 620 of the family's 3401-position model. The record is from RNAcentral. Lineage: Eukaryota; Fungi; Neocallimastigomycota; Neocallimastigomycetes; Neocallimastigales.
UAUCUCUGUAGAGUCUGCAUAUCAAUAAGCGGAGGAAAAGAAACUAACAAGGAUUCCCUUAGUAACGGCGAGUGAAGCGGGAAGAGCUCAAAUUUGAAAUCUUCAAGGUUUUACCUUGACGAAUUGUAGUUUAAAGAAGUGUUUUCUGUUGAGUGUUUCGGUAAAAGUUCUUUGGAAUAGGACAUCAUAGAGGGUGAGAAUCCCGUAUUUGACCAUUAUUUCAGCUUUGUGAUACACUUUCAAAGAGUCGGAUUGUUUGGGAAUGCAGUCCAAAAUGGGUGGCUAAAUUUCAUCUAAAGCUAAAUAUUGGCGAGAGACCGAUAGCGAACAAGUACCGUGAGGGAAAGAUGAAAAGAACUUUGAAAAGAGAGUUAAACAGUACGUGAAAUUGUCAAAAGGGAAGCGUUUGACACCAGUGUUGUCUUCUCGAAAAUCAAUUAAAAAUGGCUUGAUUUUGUGUUGUAUUGACCUUAAAAGCUUCUUCACUUUUUUCAUGUCUUUUUUAAUGCACUUUUCGUUUAACAAGUCAACAUCAGUUUCUUUUGUUGUAAAAAGGUCAUUGGAAGGUGGCUUUCUUUUCGGAGAAAGUGUUUAUAGCCUUUGACUUCUGCAAUCGGAGAGACUGAGGUCUGCAGCGUAGAUCCUUCUGGAUUAGAUUCAUUUGUGCUAAGUUACAACCGUUUAUAGACAACUUGUUGACUAUAUUCGAUCCUGUAGCUUACUCGCUUAUGUAAUUUUACCUACGCUUAGGAUGUUGAAGAUGUAGCACAUCAU